This 216-nucleotide unclassified non-coding RNA is filed under the name Hevea brasiliensis (rubber tree). The record is from RNAcentral. Lineage: Eukaryota; Viridiplantae; Streptophyta; Magnoliopsida; Malpighiales; Euphorbiaceae.
AAUAAAUUGUAUAGCUAUCUUUGCCCUUAUAUAUAGCACGUUGAUUGUCAUAACACAUACAUGUUACAUUAGGAAUAAUCUCAGCUAGCAAUACAAUUUAUUAUAUGACCAAUUUUCUUUUAUCCUUUACCAGCUUGGAACCAGAAAAUUUUUAUUUUAGGGAUCAAUCAUAAUAUAUAUAUAUCAAUAAAAUAAAUUGGAACAUCCAAACAAUUC